This 399-nucleotide long non-coding RNA is filed under the name Mytilus galloprovincialis (Mediterranean mussel). The record is from RNAcentral. Lineage: Eukaryota; Metazoa; Mollusca; Bivalvia; Mytilida; Mytilidae.
UUUCUCUUUUAGAAGCAUAACCGGAGCUCUUUCAUUUCCACUGUAUAGAUUUUGUAAAUUAUGUGAUGUGCAUUGUCUAUAUGAGUAUUGAAAUCCAGCCAUUUUGUCGGUCUUUAUAACAUACAAUCCCAAACUAUUCAAAGCUAAAAUACACAGCUAGUUCACAGCUAAAAUACACAGUUAGUUCACAGCUAGUUCACAACUAAAAUACAAAUCUUGUUCAUUUUCCCUUAUAAAAACUGUGCUUGGCCGCGGAACAUUCUUGAUGAGUAAACGAUUUGUAUCUACACACAAUUCUUCAAUUCCAUUUCAAAAUAUAAACAUUUAUUAAUAAGAAAGUUUUCCUUUAUUUUCAAUAAUCAAUAGGUUCUAUAACACAAUAGCCUCUGUUGCUUAUCG